CAAUAGCGUAUAUUAAAGUUGUUGCAGUUAAAAAGCUCGUAGUUGGAUUUGUGUGCGCCCGCAAUGUCCUUCUUAGGUACGUUUGUGGGUGUGCAUCCUUGGGUGGAACCUGUGUGGCAUUAGGUUGUCGUGCAGGGGAUGCUCAUCGUUUACUGUGAAAAAAUUAGAGUGUUCAAAGCAGGCUUAUGCCGUUGAAUAUAUUAGCAUGGAAUAAUAAGAUAGGACCUCGGUACUAUUUUGUUGGUUUGCGCACUGAGGUAAUGAUUAACAGGGACAGUUGGGGGUAUUCGUAUUCCAUUGUCAGAGGUGAAAUUCUUGGAUUUCUGGAAGACGAACUACUGCGAAAGCAUUUACCAAGGAUGUUUUCAUUAA
RNAcentral lists this ribosomal RNA (372 nucleotides) under uncultured eukaryote. RNAcentral describes it as "partial 18S ribosomal RNA". It matches the Rfam family "Eukaryotic small subunit ribosomal RNA", at positions 592 to 976 of the family's 1831-position model. The record is from RNAcentral.